AUCAGAUUGAACGCUGGCGGCAUGCCUUACACAUGCAAGUCGAACGGCAGCACGGGAGCAAUCCUGGUGGCGAGUGGCGAACGGGUGAGUAAUACAUCGGAACGUGCCCAGUUGUGGGGGAUAGCCCGGCGAAAGCCGGAUUAAUACCGCAUACGACCUACGGGUGAAAGCGGGGGAUCGCAAGACCUCGCGCAAUUGGAGCGGCCGAUGGCAGAUUAGCUUGUUGGUGGGGUAAAAGCCUACCAAGGCGACGAUCUGUAGCUGGUCUGAGAGGACGACCAGCCACACUGGGACUGAGACACGGCCCAGACUCCUACGGGAGGCAGCAGUGGGGAAUUUUGGACAAUGGGCGCAAGCCUGAUCCAGCCGUGCCGCGUGUGGGAAGAAGGCCUUCGGGUUGUAAACCACUUUUGUCAGGGAAGAAACGGUCUGAUCUAAUAAAUCGGACUAAUGACGGUACCUGAAGAAUAAGCACCGCCUAACUACGUGCCAGCAGUCGCGGUAAUACGUAGGGUGCAAGCGUUAAUCGGAAUUACUGGGCGUAAAGCGUGCGCAGGCGGCUAUGCAAGACAGAUGUGAAAUCCCCGGGCUCAACCUGGGAACUGCAUUUGUGACUGCAUGGCUAGAGUACGGCAGAGGGGGAUGGAAUUCCGCGUGUAGCAGUGAAAUGCGUAGAUAUGCGGAGGAACACCGAUGGCGAAGGCAAUCCCCUGGGCCUGUACUGACGCUCAUGCACGAAAGUGUGGGGAGCAAACAGGAUUAGAUACCCUGGUAGUCCACGCCCUAAACGAUGUCAACUGGUUGUUGGACGGCUUGCUGUUCAGUAACGAGGCUAACGCGUGAAGUUGACCGCCUGGGGAGUACGGCCGCAAGGUUGAAACUCAAAGGAAUUGACGGGGACCCGCACAAGCGGUGGAUGAUGUGGUUUAAUUCGAUGCAACGCGAAAAACCUUACCUACCCUUGACAUGUCUAGAAGUUUCCAGAGAUGGAUUCGUGCUCGAAAGAGAACUAGAACACAGGUGCUGCAUGGCCGUCGUCAGCUCGUGUCGUGAGAUGUUGGGUUAAGUCCCGCAACGAGCGCAACCCUUAUCAUUAGUUGCUACGCAAGGGCACUCUAAUGAGACUGCCGGUGACAAACCGGAGGAAGGUGGGGAUGACGUCAGGUCAUCAUGGCCCUUAUGGGUAGGGCUACACACGUCAUACAAUGGCCGGUACAGAGGGCUGCCAACUCGCGAGAGGGAGCUAAUCUCAGAAAACCGGUCGUAGUCCGGAUCGCAGUCUGCAACUCGACUGCGUGAAGUCGGAAUCGCUAGUAAUCGCGGAUCAGCUUGCCGCGGUGAAUACGUUCCCGGGUCUUGUACACACCGCCCGUCACACCAUGGGAGCGGGUUCUGCCAGAAGUAGUUAGCCUAACCGCAAGGAGGGCGAUUACCACGGCAGGGUUCGUGACUGGGGUGAAGUCGG
Molecule: ribosomal RNA, 1465 nt
Filed under: metagenome
Description: bacterial SSU rRNA
Rfam family: Bacterial small subunit ribosomal RNA
Source: RNAcentral